This 49-nucleotide ribosomal RNA is filed under the name Anaplasma phagocytophilum. Lineage: Bacteria; Pseudomonadati; Pseudomonadota; Alphaproteobacteria; Rickettsiales; Anaplasmataceae. The record is from RNAcentral.
UGGGCUGGUGGUUAUGGCAGGAGUGAAACACCCGGACACAUUCCGAACC